GCCUUAAAAGCUUAGCGUCAAGCGGUAGUCUUGUAAACUACAGACCGGGGGUUUAAAUCCCCCUUAAGGCC
This 71-nucleotide transfer RNA is filed under the name Etrumeus micropus. RNAcentral's name for it is "tRNA-Thr". It matches the Rfam family "tRNA". From Rfam's summary of the family: Transfer RNA (tRNA) molecules are approximately 80 nucleotides in length. The record is from RNAcentral. Lineage: Eukaryota; Metazoa; Chordata; Actinopteri; Clupeiformes; Dussumieriidae.